GAUGAACGCUGGCGGCGUGCCUAAUACAUGCAAGUCGAGCGAACAGACGAGGAGCUUGCUCCUCUGACGUUAGCGGCGGACGGGUGAGUAACACGUGGAUAACCUACCUAUAAGACUGGGAUAACUUCGGGAAACCGGAGCUAAUACCGGAUAAUAUAUUGAACCGCAUGGUUCAAUAGUGAAAGACGGUUUUGCUGUCACUUAUAGAUGGAUCCGCGCCGCAUUAGCUAGUUGGUAAGGUAACGGCUUACCAAGGCGACGAUGCGUAGCCGACCUGAGAGGGUGAUCGGCCACACUGGAGCUGAGACACGGUCCAGACUCCUACGGGAGGCAGCAGUAGGGAAUCUUCCGCAAUGGGCGAAAGCCUGACGGAGCAACGCCGCGGGAGUGAUGAAGGUCUUCGGAUCGUAAAACUCUGUUAUUAGGGAAGAACAAAUGUGUAAGUAACUAUGCACGUAUUGACGGUACCUAAUCAGAAAGCCACGGCUAACUACGUG
RNAcentral lists this ribosomal RNA (497 nucleotides) under uncultured bacterium. Its description in RNAcentral is "partial 16S ribosomal RNA". It matches the Rfam family "Bacterial small subunit ribosomal RNA", at positions 28 to 507 of the family's 1533-position model. The record is from RNAcentral.